Molecule: ribosomal RNA, 500 nt
Filed under: uncultured bacterium
Lineage: Bacteria
Description: partial 16S ribosomal RNA
Rfam family: Bacterial small subunit ribosomal RNA
Source: RNAcentral
AUUGAACGCUGGCGGCAUGCCUUACACAUGCAAGUCGAACGGCAGCACGGGAGCAAUCCCGGUGGCGAGUGGCGAACGGGUGAGUAAUAUAUCGGAACGUGCCCAGUCGUGGGGGAUAACGUAGCGAAAGCUACGCUAAUACCGCAUACGAUCCAUGGAUGAAAGCGGGGGAUCGCAAGACCUCGCGCGAUUGGAGCGGCCGAUAUCAGAUUAGCUAGUUGGUGGGGUAAAAGCCCACCAAGGCGACGAUCUGUAGCUGGUCUGAGAGGACGACCAGCCACACGGGAACUGAGACACGGUCCAGACUCCUACGGGAGGCAGCAGUGGGGAAUUUUGGACAAUGGGCGAAAGCCUGAUCCAGCAAUGCCGCGUGCAGGACGAAGGCCUUCGGGUUGUAAACUGCUUUUGUACGGAGCGAAACGGUCCUCUCUAAUACAGGGGGCUAAUGACGGUACCGUAAGAAUAAGCACCGGCUAACUACGUGCCAGCAGCCGCAGUAA